Molecule: long non-coding RNA, 344 nt
Organism: Zootermopsis nevadensis
Lineage: Eukaryota; Metazoa; Arthropoda; Insecta; Blattodea; Termopsidae
Source: RefSeq, a predicted model, not a curated record
UUUUCCUCGAUACACUUCACAUCCCACAGUCGAGAAGAACCGAGUAUCAGUACCUGUUUGGAUUGUGGCCGAGACCAACAUAUUUUGGGCGGACUGCUGCUACAAUUGGCUCCUGGAUGCCAUUACUUUGUGCACCGAGCCCAGUACCAGGCUCCCAGCCCAUCCCACGGAGCAUCUGAUUCCCGAGGUUAGUCUCAGGAAUUGGCAGUGCGGAACUCCCUACGUCUACAGGAAACAAUAAAUUGCAGAGUCACAAAAUUUCUGGGAAUGUUAAUAGCUUUCAACUAACUGCAGAGCACAGAGAAGGGUGAAAAUGAUUCAUUAAAGUUAUAGAUCAUUGAUAA